This is a long non-coding RNA of Herpailurus yagouaroundi (jaguarundi), 3756 nucleotides long. RefSeq lists it as uncharacterized. The record is from RefSeq and is a predicted model, not a curated record. Lineage: Eukaryota; Metazoa; Chordata; Mammalia; Carnivora; Felidae. The transcript is spliced from 10 exons.
GGUGGGGGCUGUGGAGGAGCGAGCGUGCAGUAUGGAGCCUACUGGAUCUGGCGAAGUCCGGCUGAAAGGGCGUCUGCAGGCCCUCUACGCCAGCCUUGGCCCCAUUUUACAGAUGCGGAAACAAAGGCCCAGAGGAAGGGAAGGCGACUCGCCCAGAGGCACGAGCUUGGACUAGAACCCGAGAGCCAGAGCUCCCCCCCUCUCCUCUGCAUCUCCUGAACGCUGAAGGGAGAGGCAGCUCUGCGGGGACGACCGGAAGCUGCCAGAGAAGUCCGUGGUGGGCAUCCGUGGAGAUUGUUGCAGAGCCUCCCUAUUGCCACGGCUGCCAUUGCUCUUGGGGACGACAGAUCAGCUGAACACAGCUCUGCCCCGGAGCCAUGUGGAAGUCAAGAAGUGGACUUGAUCUUAAGGGAGGAACAGAGAUCCUGGGUCAACCCAAGCCUCGUAGAGAAAGCGCGUGGUGGACAUUCGCCCUGGGAGCCGGGGGAUGAGGCUGUUUGUUCUUCUCCGGAGCACUGUGGAGUGUGGCUCUUGAACUCUUUGGGCCUCAGACCUCUUCAGGAUCCGGCAGAAGCUGUCUCCCUCUGCCCUGCUGGCCGCACACACGCACAGGACAGCGAUUACACGGCAGCCCCUCAGAAGCCCAGCUGGGCCCUGCGUUAGGAAGGAGUCCUUCAGGAAGGGGACAGCCCUGAGCCCAGGCUCCCUGGUAUCUUGGCUAAUGAGGGAUGCUAAUGACACGGAGGGUCCAGAAUGAGGAAAAUCGAAACCAGAUUUCUAUCGCGUGAGCUAAAAAGAAGCACGACACACGUCCCGCGUUGCAAUUUUGUAAAAAAGAUACACCGGUAGAGAGAGAACGGUGAAGGCCAUGUGGAGAAAUGAAAACGAUUUGCAGAAAAUGUUUGCUGAUCCCUGGUCUAGAAGCCCGGCUCUGCACCUUGCUCUCCUCGUCUGUGUAAUGUGGAAUCCGAGUUCCCUUCAUCGGUUUGAGGAAGUUCCUUCCUUUUCUCUGGUUUGCGGAGAGUUUUUCUCAAGAAUGGAUGUUGGAUUUGUGUCCAAUGCCUUUUCUGCGUCUUUUGAGAGGAGCAUUAUGGCUUUUCUUUUGGAGUCUAUUAACACGUCUUUUCUCAGCUGUGUCUCUGAAGAGCUCAGAUCACCCUGGCCACAGGGAUUGGUCCAGAGAUGGGGAAGUCAGCCUUAGGACGUUUGUUGGAAAUUCUGGAAAGGGUUCUCUUUCCCCUGGCAUGGCCAAGCUGAUAGAAGUAUACCCAAAGAUGCUUCGUCUGUGCUCGGGGAGACUCUUCUGGAGAAUAAAGCCACACAGGAGAGCAGAGUGCAGUGAUGGAGAACCCAUGUACUCAGUAACCUCAGUAGAGUGCCUGGAUACAGCCACACCUGAAACACUGAAACCAUACCUCCUCCCGCACAGUUCACUUCCAAGAGCCGGUUCCUUUUUUCUCUUGCUUGCUGAAGCCAGUUUGACUUGGGUUUCUGUCUCUCACAAAGCGAGGGGUUGGCCAGUAUGGGGAGGGGACUUAACCUCUCUGAACCGGAGUCUCUUCAUCUGUCAAAUGAUCUCCUUACUCGCCCUGAAGGGUGGGGCCCCGCAGGCCCGCCGGCAAGAGCGGGAAUGGUCUUACAAAAGCUCUUGCCAGGGUUAUCUCACCUGGUCCUUUGGAGAACUCUGUGAGGUGCUUAGUGACUGUAAUGGUCGUGCUCCACUUGGAGGGGAGGACUCUCGCAGUCAGGGAGGUAGCAGGUACCGGAUCGCUUUCGCUUCAUCCUCGCCACCCCCCCCCAAAAGAAAUAAAUAAAAACUUAAAAAGAAAUCCCCCCCAUUGGUGUAUGUGUCAGCCUCCACUGAGUGCAGGGUGGGAGCAGACCCUGGCUAACCGCUGGGGUCCUUGGGCAGGUGGUCGUUGGGAUAAGGCUGCCUGGGAGGGCGGGCAGCGUUUGCCCUAAAAGCAGGAGGACACUGUGGUUGUGAAUCGUCCCGAGAAGAGGAGGGUCCCCGGACAGGUGGAAGCAGGAAGCCCUCCCUUGAACAGGGAAGUGCUCCCCAGGCACCAGGGACAACUUGUAAAGAUCAGCAGGAUCCUGGGGGUCUGGGAAGGGUUCCUGGACAGCGGGGGUUGAAGAUGGCACGCGCCUCGUGGAGAACAGCAAAGGCCAUCAGAAACUGAGCGUGAACCACGUACUCAGGCCCGGGCUUGGGGUUUCGAUCCCAUCACGCCGGUACGACCAGGUAUUGUCCUCCCAUCGCUCGGGAGGAAGUACCAAGCGCUAUGGGGAUAACAGCUUUCUCAGAUCACGCAGUUAGGAGGAACCUGGGUUCGGAUUCAAGCCUGGGUCGAAAGUUCGUGACUGUAGCUCAAGUGGAGGCAGAGGGGACCAGAGGGGGGGAGCUUUGUGGUGGUCCCCACUUUGGCAAUGAGCCACACCAUGCCGUGGGAGUCCAACUCCUGUGACUCGGGCGGUGAGUCUUCCCCGGCUCUCCCUGCACCCUUGGGCCCCUAUGUGAUUGAGCCAUCGGGACCUACGGGCAGGGUCAGAUGGGCCGCAGUGACAGGCAGCAGGCCUGGCCUGCAGCCUGAGUAUGGGUCAGCCGGAGACCCCAAGGGGAAGGUGAAGCUUGGGCACAGAGUCUGGCACAGCGUCAGCUGGGCACUGGCGUCCGUGUGGCCCGCUUCUCCCACGGCCAUUCCGGCACCUGACAGCCCCGGGCCGGGAAGGGAAGGCUCGGAGUGCCUGGGCUCGACGUGGAGCUGGCAGGACCCGAUUCUCCAUGUUCUCAUCACAGAACUACACCUGGGCGAAGCUUCCAAAGGAGCCACCCAGGCUAGGCUUCCCUCCCCAGGGCUUUGGACGCCGGCACCCUCCCAGCCUCCUGUGCUCGCAGCGCUGGAGAAAAGAAAACGCGUGCCCCCGAGCCAGCUGCAUGAAGGCGAGGGGUCUGUCCUUUGCUCCCAGACCAUGUCAAACUACAGAGUUAUAAACGAGAUGGAAAUACAUUUCUAAAGUAUCUGCUGCUUUAGCUCUUCUGUUCCAGGUUGAGCUGCCUGCUGGUUCCGGAGAAAGGACAAGAAAGCCCAGGGCUGCCCGGAAGCAGAGGCUGAGACUGAGCCUGGGGUCCCACCUUCCCUCCCUGGGGCGCUGCAAAGACUCCAGGCCUCCUGCGGGACCCUGGAUCUGAGGCUCCCGCACAGACUCCAGAAUGGCCUUUCCUUCCACGUCUGAGUUCCCUUCUGCGUGGGGUCCCAGGUCUUCCUCCACCCCAUGGGCCAGAACCUUUUAUCUGGGAGCCCAGGGCUCUUUUCCCGGCCUUGCCUUGAGGGAGGCGUCUGAGUCCCGGAAGCUCACCUGCCGUCAUAGCUUUCGUCCACUUGCUUCCGAGGCACCACGCCUCGCUCUCCUGAGCGCCCAGUGCCGUGAUGAGUGUCGAGGACCAUGAUCCUCUUCACCUCUGUGUGCCUCUCUAAAAUCAAAGCCAGUCCUCUAACCAACCAACCCGGCCUCUGCUAAACAGACCAUAGCAGAGCCCUCCCACGUAUCGACGUGUAUUUCAACCGGGGUCUUCUGAAGAUGAUGCCUCCGUUCGCUUUAAAGGUCUCGGGCUCACGUCAUCCCCACGAUCAUCCCAGUGCCACGUCCCUAUUUUGCAGAUGUUGAAAUGGAGGCUCAGAGCAGGGGACUCCCUCAAGAAAUCAUGAAUCCCGAACCCCUGCCUCAGGCUCUGCUGUUAAGAAACCCACGCUU